UACACUUAGUUCCCUAUCUGCGCUAUGGGUCCCACGUCAGUGUGGUUGGUGGCCGUUUGUGUCCUGGGAGCAGGCCCCUCGGACGCCAGAGUCAUCCAGACCCCCAGACACCUGCUGGCCCAAGCAGGUAGGAAGGUGAAACUGAGCUGUAAACAGGACCAGAACCACGACACCAUGUACUGGUACCGGCAGGACCAGGGACAGGGGCUGCAGCUCAUCUAUUAUUCCGUUGGAGAACAGAAGACCAAGGGCGAAGCUGCAGGAGAAUUUGACGUCACACGGUCAGAAACGCAGAGUUUCUCCCUCGAAAACUCUGCUGUGAAGAUGGCAGAUUCUUCGCUGUAUUUCUGUGCGAGCAGUGUAACCACAGUGCUGCGGUGUCCCCUCUGCCCUGUGCACGAACCUCCACCGGUCCAGGGCAGGAAGCAGGAGCGUCUGGCCCACAGCGUCUGCCUUCUCACUUCUCUUUCCUUCCCCCACAGGCCCGCAGAUGCUGGAGUCACCCAGACCCUCAGAUAUUAUCUGCUGGCUGAGAAGGAAAGGGAGGGGACACUGAGCUAUGAACAGACCAUGAAUCAUGACUGA
This is a non-coding RNA of Tachyglossus aculeatus (Australian echidna), 585 nucleotides long. Lineage: Eukaryota; Metazoa; Chordata; Mammalia; Monotremata; Tachyglossidae. The record is from the annotation of a RefSeq genome assembly.